This is a long non-coding RNA of Carya illinoinensis, 287 nucleotides long. RefSeq lists it as uncharacterized. The transcript has 3 exons. The record is from RefSeq and is a predicted model, not a curated record. NCBI's taxonomy places the organism in Eukaryota, Viridiplantae, Streptophyta, Magnoliopsida, Fagales, Juglandaceae.
GGCAGAAACAAAAUGUGAAGCAUACAGGAGGGAGAAAGCCAUUCGUACGAAUAUUGGAGGAAAUGAAUGAAGAAGACCCGAACUUGAUACAGUUUUACAAAGAAGUGCAUUGGUCAAGAAAGAAGGGCUGUUUUAUAACUGGCCUAGCAGAACAGAACUACAAACUAAUGCUUGAGCGAUUGGAUGAGACUGAGGUGGAUACAGAAAACAACAAUGAGAAGUGCAAUGCAGCAUUCAAGGAGGUUUUAGGAUAUAAAGCAGGUUAUGCAACAGGACUUGGACACUCG